RNAcentral lists this ribosomal RNA (254 nucleotides) under uncultured bacterium. RNAcentral's name for it is "partial 16S ribosomal RNA". It matches the Rfam family "Bacterial small subunit ribosomal RNA", at positions 524 to 776 of the family's 1533-position model. The record is from RNAcentral.
UACAGAGGUCCCGAGCGUUGUUCGGAUUCAUUGGGCGUAAAGGGCGCGUAGGCGGCCAGCACAAGUCAGUUGUGAAAUCUCCGGGCUUAACUCGGAACGGUCAAGUGAUACUGUCGGACUAGAGUACAGAAGGGGCAACUGGAAUUCUCGGUGUAGCGGUGAAAUGCGUAGAUAUCGAGAGGAACACCUGCGGCGAAGGCGGGUUGCUGGGCUGAUACUGACGCUGAGGCGCGAAAGCCAGGGGAGCGAACGGG